AGCAGCGCUGCGCCGUGUCGUGCGUCGUCCGGCACGCACUAACCGAGAGUGUGUUGGGCCAAUCUCAAAACUGGGCACUCACUUCGCUCAACCCCCGCCCGACACUCGAGUCAAAGUCCCGAGAGGGUGCAAGUUCUUCCCGAGGUAUUACAAAAAUAGAUUUGUACGAGUGUAUCACUAUGUGCGGUCGCGUGCACUCUGCCACGGCACUUCACGUUCUGCUCCUCUUCCUGCUCGAUCCUCUGAUAAAUCGGAAACGGAGGCAUCAUGUUAUACGAACACAGAAUACAUGCGAGGCUUUGCUACGGUGGGGAAGCUGCUGAAUGAUCUCUCAAUGUUAAUCAGAUUGCAAAGUCAAUAGAGCUUCGUCGUGAUUCUCGAAUUUUAGUUCUUUUAGUUGUCCACAUUGUGGACGCAUGACGUAAACGACUGUUACAUCAAAUGCCGCACUAUCAACGACGAGGCUUAAAGAUCGCUUUCACAUUUCUUGUGCCAUAAUUACACGUUACGAGUAUAUUAAUUAUUGAACAUCGAUGUUAAUUGACAUUAAGUGCAUUACACAUGGAGAAAGCUUUUUAAUAUCCGAGAAAUUCUAGUAAAUUGACCAAAAAAGACUGACAAAAAAAUUUUUUUUAAAUAAUAAGAGUUGAUAAAAAUAUACAGCCGAAAGGAAAAGAGAACAUCUGUCGUAUCAAUUAAUAGUAUAUUGUUGCUACUGAAUACUGUUUAGUAUUUGCGUCAUUAUUUGAUAAUUCGAAUAUGACUGCAAUUUUCAAAAUCUAAUGAUAAUAACGGAACGACUCACUAAACAACGACGGCCAAUGCAGCAACAACGAUCACGACGAAAAUUCGCGCGGCGAAGCGUUUCGUUGCGUCGACAGAAACUGCGAGCAACCGCGUUAUCGCGUUACAGCUUAUCAACGAAAUAUCUGUCUACUGACCGCGAAUGGCGACGAUGACGACGACGUCUCCGUGCCGCGCGCACUCAUUCCGAUCCAAUCGAGGCGCGGAAUCGACGACCUUCGGCUAUUCGACAUUUCUUCGAACGCGAUGGCCGUGAUGCGGGAAUUAAUGCGCUUCAAUUGUUAGCUCUCGAUUUGUAUUGCCCUCGUACCUGUUGCUUGUUUAGUGUAUCGACGUAAAGCGUAACUAAAGCGAUUACUCUCCAGAGAUGGUCCGUGCUGAAUUUCUAUGUUCUCUCUUACCGUUUGUUCUACCGGAAAUAUGUGCACACCUAGCCAUAGCAGGUAUACAAAUUAUUCAGUGCUUGUGUUUAACAAAGAAAUUAAGCAUUUAUUUAGUUUCUUUUUUUUCGAAGAGAUAUUUGUUAGUUGCCCGAUAAAUGGAGGAAAGUAUUAGAAAAUGUUGGUGAAUAUUUCAAAGAUUGGCAUAUUUUUAUAGUCUUUUUAUAGUUUUAUAUUUUUAGUCCAAUUUCUUCAAAAACAGCAGCGAAUGAAUUUGCGCAUAUAAUAGAAAGUUUUCUUCCUACCCUUGUCUAUAGUCUAUGAGUUUAUAAGGGUUUCUUUACAUUUCCGGAGUUUUUACAUAUUUCUGUGUUGACUGAUUAUGAAUCGAGAACAUCGCUGCGCAAGUUUUGAAGUACGCGCGGUCGAAUAUUCUGGGUAUUUCUAAUUAUUCUCAUUUAAAGUCAAAAUAAUCUUUAAUAAAUCUUUAGGUAAUCGCAAAAUGACAUAAAGUUCAUUUUUAAAGAAUUGAAUGAUUCCAAGUAAAAAUUGGAAAAUGUAUAAAUGUAUGACUUUAAAUCCAAUUGCUAAGCUUUAAUCACUAAGCUUGAAAUUAACAAUAUCAUUCUGCAAAUGUUAAGUGGCUAUCUACUCAUCGGCCAGUAAAGUGUAACAAAAGCGCUAAAUAGCGCUCUAAAGUUAUUUUACACAAAUAUUUUUAAAACAGACAAAAAAGAGAGAGAUCUGCAGCAUUUUCAACUUGAAAUACUUAAGGCCGACGCUUCCGAAUUUCUUUCAUGUAAGAACCGAGUAAAAGGCGUUCCGACCCUUUAACCUGGCCGAGAAAAAGUUACCACGUUUUGCUUCGCAUUUCAUUGAUCUGGGCAAAGUUUCACGGCAAAGAAGACAUACUUCAAACCAGCAUUUUCAACAGUAAAUGCCGAAACACACGUCAAACUACACAAAGCUACGUUGAAUCGGGGAGAAUGCACAUGACAGUAUUUCUCGAGAGUUUCAAAGUUAUCAAGACAAAACGCAGUUUACAAUGCAUUUACUUUGACACAACACGUUAUCAAAAGGCGUGCGCGAUAUACUUCGCGAAUGUAUUCGAACGCAUUUUCAUUCGAACGACACUUUUUCGCGAGACAUACGUUUCUCUUCCCUGAAUUUGCAUAUAGAAAAAAAAGCGAAAGACCGGUUUUACGUGAAGAUGAAAUAAAACGGAUUUCGCGUAGCGUAUGAUAUUUCACACGACAAUUUAUCGGUGUAUCGAUUUUCUCUCAAAAGAAGAAGCAGCCGUUUGCCCGUUUCUCAACUCUUCCAGAAAAAGAUGAUCGCUGGCAGCGAAAUGAAUUAGGACAAAUCACAGUUGGAAGCUGCGAUCGCACAGCGAGGCGAGCGCAACACGCCUUUUAUUCCCCGUCUACACUUCUCUGCGGCAAAACAUACUCGAGAGAAGCAACCUUGGCCAAGUUUUGCGACAGGGAAUAUUGGAAAUUCCGCUUUGUGUGACGCUACGUGAUGCAAUAUAUUUUGGCUUGAUAUCGCUUGGUCCGAUCCUGCGAUAUAGAACAACAGUGCUUACAUCGAAAUAAAUAUACAUAUUAUUUCGAUAUAUGUGUUGCGCUAAAUUAAUUCAAAAGCGUUUCUUACUUUGCUCGCAAACGAGACGGUGAUAAAUAUCCGACAUCGAUACACGAUGUUUGAUGAUAUCGUAACGUUGAGAAAUGAACGACUCGUCGUAGAACGAGUCGACCACCGAAAAUAAAUUUCUCCCGCGGAUAUGCGUCCCUAUUUUUCGAUUAAUUGAAAUCAAGGUUUAUUGCGUGUACGGUCAGUUAUAAUUACUCCGGAACAUACACGAGUUAUUCGUUUUUACCGAUAAAUAACUAAAAUGAAACAGAGCAUGUGCCGCGGUUAAAACGAACACGAAGUCGAAUAUAUUUAUUUCCGCAGUCUCUGCAGUUACUGUCGACGCGCAAAUAAAUUGCAUAGAUGCUUCGUAUGUUCAAAAAUAACUACGAUUGCUGGAAGCGCCAUCACGUUCUAACGUUUCAACUAUAAAUAAUUAAACAGCGUCAUUACUCACUGUUGCUUUCGGAAAGUUAUUCUUGCAAGUUUAACAUGAUUUUUAUGCUCUUCCGCUUGUACGAUAAAUUGCCCGUGACUUAAUACUUUGCUAAUUAACUGCAAUUAGAUACCUCUUUAAUAUCCGAAAUGAUUGAGACGACAAUUAAAGAAUAAGAAUAAGUUUAGACAAUAUAUUAUUGUGACAUUGACAAAUUAUCGUUAAUUACCCAUGUCACAGACAUUGAAUGCACACAAACAUUCUGCAAAAAACCGUUAAAAAAGCUUGAAGGAAGGCAUCAAUGAGAACUAGAAGCCAGAUAUACAAGCAAGACUACAUUCGGAAUAAGGUAACAGUGGCUAUUGUGUUUCUCAACAGAUAUCCCCAUGAUUUAUAAAAAGCAGCAUAAACUUUUGUCUCGACGAUGUACUUUUUCGGCGCGUUUACGGCCCCCUACAGCGAGUCUCAGGAAUGUCAUUCUUUCGAAGCAUCAUCGACCCCAAUUCACGAAAUCUCCUUUGUAUUGUUAAAAGUUAGGUGUCUCGCAGUUACGCCUCUCGCCCAAACUACCAAAGUUCACGCCCACAGUGUAUUACGUCAGUCAUUAUUACGGUGUACCGUUCAAGAUGGCGAUUUAAGGACAAAGUUGGAAAUUUCGGGACGGGAACAUCUCGACUGCCUAACCGUGCACUUUAAUCGUGAGGCGCGCUUGCACUUUGCGAAUGAAUGUAAUUACGAGCGAAACAUUGUCUCUGUAUUUUCAGACACAGGGCACGAAAAACGGAAUGUCACAACUUGUAUAAUAUAAUAUAAUUUGAUAAAAAUCUUGAGUAAGAGUAAGAAUUUUGAUUAUUGCAGAUGAACAACGCUUCAAGAUUUAUCAAAACUAGAAAUCUUAAUUUGCAACUACAGAUCUUGUUAUUUUUAUCUACAUUUACAUGCAAAAUAUUUAAUAAGAUUACUUUAUGAAAUAUGACGCUUAUGGCGAUAAAUAUUAUCACUCACGAAUUAACGAGAAUCGCGCGAACUAGAGCAGUACAAGUUAAAGAUAAUCCCUCGCGAAUUUUUUGCGGACACAUUUUACAAGUCGGCUUGCAAAUUAGAGCUUCUUUCCUUAUGCGAAUUUCUUCCAUUGAAUUUUGUAUAAAAAAGACGGCAAAGCGAAAAUGCCGUGUCAAGUUAACGUGAAACGGUUAACUCAGCAAGCACGAUAAAAGCGUGGCCUUUUAUAUUCCACGUCCGUCUUUCCACGGUAUCGUCUACUUUGCGCAGUGUUUUCCUCUUAGAAAAACCUUCUCUUCCUUCCUAUCUCCUCCCCCGCACGAAAUUAAAACUUGUUUUGACGAUGUUCGAAGCUAAUGUGGCUUCACUUAAUCUCAAACCGAUCCAUCAAUCGACCUUUUGCUCGUUCCACACGCUUAAAAUGCGAUUGAGGACAAUAAAAUUGUUAAUGUUUUACGGUUAAAUUUCCGUGUGAAAUGCUUCUUGAUGGAAUCACUAUACGCAUUUCGUUACACUGGUGAGGAUAGCGUCCGUUACGAUUCUAACGGGACGUGCGGUGGUGUGAGUGAAGUUAAGUAAAGUGACGUCGGAAGUAUAGGCGAAGUGUAGAAGAGUGUACCGUGUUACGGCAUUAUGAGAUUACUUCGUAAAGUCCCCUUUCUUGAAGGGAGUUCUCCGCGGCGGUUAAAUGCUGCGCGAAAACGAUUUUUCGAGCAUAAAGCCGCGACUACCGUUUUUCGACCGCCGAGGACACUGUUAAUCGCUUAAUAGAGAAACGUAUCCCGCUCCCCUUUGAUUACGUUAGCAUUGCUAAUUCGCAAAACUGCGUUUACCGUCGCUUUCUUUGCCCUUAUUUUCUCAGCCGUGCGCGAGCUCCACCCUCUCCCCCCUCUUCCUUCUCCUCCUGCUGCCUCCCAUCUCCCUUGACACGAUAAAAGAUCGCUCGGUCUCAAUGGCCCGUGCUUUAUUUAUGCGAUAAAAUAUAAGGAAGGUAAGACGCCGUAACGAGAGAGAUUUUCUCUUUUGGUGCGCGAGCAUGCGCGCGCGUAUGCGCCGGCUGACGGAGAGCAAUGAUCUCGCGAGAAAUCCGUCUGCAUGCAUCGCCACGCGAACGUAAUCCCAAAUAAAGCGCGUCGGAACGCGUCGGCCGACCAAAUAAAAUCGAAUGAAUUAUUAACGACGAUAAGGACAAUGCGCGUCCGCGCGCGAGGAACUCUUGUGAAAGGCGAACUGUUUGCUCACACGAGGAAACCCGCGUGUGCGUUUCUUCAACCCCUUCGCUCUGCGAAUCGCGAUCGUACCGUUCCUCGUGCGCAGCACUGUAGCGUUUGUAAAGGAUAACAAUCGGAAAAUUAUCUUACUUCCCCCGCAGCGAGGUUCAUGGUUUAAUAACGUUUCUGCGCAUUAUUUAUUUGCUCGAUAUCGCUCAUGUUGUGCAAGAGCGAUGCGAGCAAAAAAACUGUCUUCGAUAUUGCACAUUGAUGAAAAUUAAAGUUGAAACGAGCUGAUUCGAACGAAUCAUAUCUGCGCGAUCGAACUAGGGGAAUUUCACUGAUAUUCCCGCACGCCUGAAUAAUGCUUCGCGCGAAUUAAACUCCCUGAUCAUAAAUCACGCCUCCUUGGAUGGUCACGCAAAUGAAACGUCAUCUCGACGCUCGGACUAACGCGUCCAAGUUUUACUCGGCAACGUUAAUGCAUCGGGCACGUAGGGGCGCAUGCCUGUACGAAGGACGAGAGAUAAAAAUACGCUCGCGUCGUCGCGGAAGCACUUCCUCCUUGUGCCGUGGCACUUUGCCACCCCGUGUUACCCCACGGUUUAUACUGUACAAACGCGACGGCGGCGCCAGGGACUUUUUAUCGCGCCAAGGAGCACCGAUAAGCCCGAGCCGCUCGUGAGUCACGCUUCCGUUCCGCGCGCGCGCGCCAAUGCGCGAGCUGAAUCCUUCGCGCACGGACAGAGUGUUUCUUUCACAUUCGUCAUAAAACGAUUAUCUGAGCGACGCGGGCGAUUACAAUGCGGCGAUACGCCACCUCCACCCUCCCACCUACCCUGCCUCGCGACGUGCGCGCGAAUACAUUUUCCCCUUAUCGAGAAAAUGAUUUCUGAUGGAUGGAUGGAGAAACGCCCCGAUUCUCUUUUGUUUCCUGUCUUGCCUUGUUCUUCGGUAAACUGCAAAAAUCUCCGGCAUUCGUUGUGCGCUCGACGCUCAACUCUUUUGAUAAACGGACGCCGUAAUUAAGCCCCACCGAUUGCGCGAAGGUUCUGAUAAAUGAUCGCGGAAAUACGCGAUACGAAGCACGUAACAUGAUUCGCGCGUUCGGGGCGUGCCGAAGAAAUAAUCUAACGCGGAAAAAAUCAAGUCACUCUAUCAAUAGCGGAAGUGUACUAGGGACAUUCGAGUUACGGUGUGGUUUAAACCAGAAAAAGGCUACGCUAUCGAUAUACGUAUACUAAUGUAAAUUUCGUGUGGAUUGAAGCAGAUGAUACGGUAACAAUGCAAUAAUUUAAAUAGCAGCGCUACAAAGGACGUCAUUAGCUAUGUGCGAUCACGGCGCGGCGUGCCAGAGGCGCGCAACGCCGGUAAAUUACGCUUCCCUCAUGAGCACUUUUCCCCCCUUAUCGAGGAAACAACGUACACCUAAUGCUGCGAUGCGUCCUUGGGGGAUGGCGGCCACUGCUCGCGAAAUCGUCCGCGCAAAACAAGGCAAUAAUAGCCGUGCGGCGUGAUCUCAUCCGGAUCGGUAAGGCGCGAGUCCUACGUGAUUCAUGCGCCGAAGCCUUAAAAGAAGAUUUUCUCGAGUCGUGACACGAAAUGCCAAGAAAGAAGCGUCAGCGUCACGAGAAAAGCGUCGCGAAAACACAACGCCUGUUUUCACGUUAUUCGAUAUCUUGAUUGAAUAACUGAGUAUCUCGAGAAACCUCGAGAUGUAAUUCAAAGUUCAUAGUCCACGUUUAGCAUCAAAUGCGUAAUUCUGAUUUUUUUUAAACUAAUUUUUUAGAGUAAUUUUUGUUAGACCAAUAUGGAGUGAGAAAUCUGGCUAGAGAAAGAAAAAAUAUUUCGAGCUAAGUGUGAAAAACGCGAAAUCAGAUCAUAGCUUUCUCUUUGUCUGCGACGCACGAUCUUCUCGUCGACUUUAUCGACUUUCUAUCGCGGAAAUCGACUUUUCCUGAAUCUGAGUACCGUAGGGAAUAGAUUCAGACUCAUGCUCAGCUCGCGUUUACAACGAAAGAUUAAUGCGCCGUUACUCGCGGGACUUACAUAAAGACAGGCCGGUGUCAACAAGUUGCAUCAUUUUCCGACACGAACAGCUCGCCGAUCAUCGCACGCGCUGAUUAUCAAACGAUGCCUCGUGGAGUGACGUGUUUGCACAAUAGAAACAUUAUAUAGAACGUUAGUUAAACAUUACUGUCAAAGUUUUGCAGUGUACCGAGAAAAAAGAAAUUGUGGCAAUUUCUAAUAAUUUUACACACUCGCGCGCGCGCGCGCGCGCAUGAUAUCUUUUACACAAUUUAUUCUUGAUAAAAAAUUUACCCUGAUAUCAAAGCACCAUGUCAGAUUUUAAUCAAGGACGUACGAUUUUAGAGAAGCUUUCAAUCGUAAAAUGAAUGACUCAGUUAAAGGGUUAAAUCUAGUUCGGACGGAAUAGCGUGCUUUCUAACGAGUUAACUAGCAAUCGAACGUGUUCCUAAUUGGUGGCCUCCUAACGUAACACCCUACGGGUAUCAUGGCAUCCAACCCUGCGCUAAUUGUUCCAAUGUGAAAUCCUUUACGCGUUUCGUAAUACCUUACGUUAUAUGGCGAAGAUGAUUUUAGUAAUUUGAUAUCCGAGGUACGCGAUAAAUGUACGUAUAUUAAGAUUUUAUGAAUCCAAUAACGUAUAUAUGUCAGAACUGCUGAGAAAUAUGAUUAUGAGAUAUUUAAAGCUCAGGUGAAUCGGCAACGAGUAACAUUGGCUAAUAAAAACUGCUGAUUAAGCAACGAGGAAUUUUUUAAUCUGUCUGCAAACAUGAAGAAAGAUAAAUUUCGUGCCUGAAUGGCUGACGGAAUUAAGAUGAUCAAAAGUUUAAAUAAAUUUAAUAUACGACUAUUACAUCAUGUAUUUAUCAAUAAAUAUAUUCUUGAAAAAAGAAGCAAUCAAAAUUAUAAUCUGUUUUACAGAUUCCACAAUGCAACUGUAUUUAAAUCGUAACAUAACUUUACAUGCUUCAUCGCUCUGUGUGAAAAACAGAUUAAGUCGAUUUUUAAUAGUACAUGAUCCUUACAUCCGUUCCCUUCCAUGAUGGCCCGACGAACACGCGACACGCGGAAUCCACGCGAGUGAGAAACGACGCGCGCGCGGAGCAGGUAGGUGAUAUGCGAGAGGAUUACACGUUGAAAUUAUCUAUCGGGCAAUCGACGCGCGCCUAUAAUUCAGCCACCAGGAUAAGCGGCGGAGGUAUCAAAUGGUAGGCGCUAUUAUUAUCUGCUUCUUGCCGAGCAAUUCGAGACCAUUUGCACCUUCCGCCGUGCCCAGGUGCGCCUAAGUACGGUUACCGGCACAAGAACGGUAAUUUACAAUGUAUAUCCCCUCCCUCUCUCUUCCGCUAUCUGUCCGAUGUACGAUACGACGUGCGAGCGCGGCUCUAUCCGCCUCGAGGUGGAGUGAUUCGAGGAUACGCAAGGACGGACGACUAAUCGGGCCUUACGGACGCCAAACUGAUUAACUCGUUCGGAUAUCAGCUACGGGUUUCCAAGCGAGAGACAUCGCGAUCACCUCUUGGACAGAGCUAUUCUGGAGAACCGUAAAAUGACACGCGCAUUACCUCCCUUUUUAUACGAUUUUUUCUAAACGCCGGGAAAGAUACUCGGAAUGGCUUCCAACUGCGCCAUUUGAAUUUUAGAUACUGAUACGGUCAAUCAGCGCGGACUGAAAAAACGGGUUAAGGAGAAAUGAAGCUAAUGGAUUUUAUGCGUGUUACAUGAUGCAGUGAAAAAAUACUCUCGAGAAUGUUGGUUUCCAUUUCCAUUACUUCCGGGUUUUUGCAUAAUUCACGGAUUUGCAUAUGUAAAGUGAGUUUUUGAAAAGCAGGUCUCUUCUCCGUGCUGCACGUAGGCGAGUACUUAGUCAAUUGGAUCAAAGAUGAGCGGCAUUUCAGGCUUGUGUUCAGAGGUAGAAACCUCACCACGACGAAUACGUAGAGGCGCGAGGCGAUGUUAAUGACAAUCGGGAAGAUUGGCGUAAGAGUUGCGCGAUGUGGACACACCUUGCUCCAGCAUGACGCGCGGAGGUGUCACGAUGCAGGACGAUGCUUCGUUGAUCGCACGCAUCAUCUUCUACGCAAUAAAGAUCGAUCGUGAAGCUCCUAGGAAGAUGCGCGCUCAAAGAGAAGCGAAUCCGGCUCGAAACGAUGCAGAUCAUCAGCGUAGGGUCGUAAUUUCCCAUUAACGCGUUCGAGCGAGAAAGAACGCGUUCGAAAGAGGGAGGCCGUGCAGGGACCCCGCGGAAUCUCCCCCGUCGGUAAUCGUCGGGGCGCGAUAACGAUAUAUACCGAGUCUCGUUAUCGGUCCGACGGACAGCAGGAGGGUGGGACGUCACCCGCGGUGCGGCACCUCUCACGCUGGCAAUCGACGGUUUAAUGCACGUCUGCUGCGUCUGGCAGGUGAUAUCCGCGGCGGCGGCAGCGGGUCCUCUGUGCGCGUUGUUACAGCGUCGUAGUGCCGCGAUUCCCGACCGGAUUCGGAUGCGCUCGGCGUUCCUCGGCGGCCGGCCGCGUCGUACGUGCGUCCCGGGCGCGAACAACGGGAAGAGACGAGCAUCAAGUCGAUGGUAUACGGCGGCCGGGACGGGGAUGGCCGGCAGGUGAGACACAGAAGGGACUGACGAUUCUCUCUUUCUCUAUCUCUCUUUGUACGGCGGGCAGACGCGCGGGCAAGAAUCGAAUAAAGAGGGAUUCGCGAAUAAAAGGAGAUAGGUAUCGCACGGUAUGUAAGAUAGGAGCGACGAAGGAGAGAGAAAGGGUUGGAAGAGAGGGACGAAUGCACGACGUAAGAACGAACCACGAGAGGACGGGAGGAGUGAAGUGAGACGAAAAGACCGAAAGAGAGGAGGGAGAAAGCAAGAGAGAAAGAAGGAGAAUACUCAAAGAAGGAACGGAAAGAGAGAGAGAGAGAGAGGCACGUGCGCGCAGCAGCUCGUUCCGAGGCUCGCGACUCGACUGAUCUGUGCGUCCGCGAAGUCGAGUAGCGCCCCAGAUUGCUGGCCGGAGUAGUCCUGCUGCACCGGGUCACGUACGAAUCUGCUGCCACAUCUCACCACAUCACCGCCGCGCCACCACCAUCAUCAUUAUCAUACUACUACUACUAUUAGUAUGUCAACGAUUACUGAUGAUGAUGAUGAUGACGACGAUGAUAACGAUGACGAUGACGACGAUCCUUUAUAUCGGCCGUGACGGCGACGCGCCGCAUGUUCAUAUCGUUCUGGCGGCGGUAAUGCACCUCGCACGCACUUGGUCUCGGAUGAUGCGUCGUUGGUGUUCGUGUUACGUGUGCGCGCGCGUUGCCCGAGGCCGACGGCGCAACGCGCCAAGGAGAACGGUGGAGUACGCAACGGGGUGACCGCUACGCGCGCGUAGGGAGCACGGAUUACGGUGUCCGGCUGGCGUCGCGUCGUUGCGUCGAGCACGUAACGCCGUCGUCGUCGGACUAACUUGAUUUCAGAGAACAAAGAUAAGGCGCGCGUGCCUUUUCGGAUUUUUCACAGACUCGCCACGUAAACCCCAUCCUUCCUUCCCGCCGCGGAAAAUUCCGUGUACAUCCGCGAGUAAACACAGCUUUCUCCUAGUCCCUCUAUAAUUUCUCUGCAAUUUCCUAUACCUCUUGUAUCUCGUUUCCUGUUGUCCAUUUCCUGUUAUUGUGUUUACACAAGAUCCCUCAGAACUAACACCGACGCUUUCUAGCAGCUACGGGUUUCUCGGCAAACGUGUAGUUGAUUUUUUUGCUGAAAGAGGGUGAAUCCAAGUGACUAUUUUAAUACUUGACGCGAUGGGAGCCAAUAUACGCGAUAUGCCACUAAGCGAACACGAGCGAAUGAAGCAGUGUUCACGAUGCUUCAAAUUGCAGGGCAUUCGAUUACACAGUCGGAAAGCGGAAGAGAAAACGAGAGAGAGGGAAAGAGAAAAAAGAAAUGGAAUACAGAAUACGUGUUAAAAACCGUUCGACCAAAUAAAAGACCAAAUUUGAUCGACGUGAUAGCUGAUGCUGUACAGGUAGCGAUUUAUUGAGGCCAGCGGAGCGGCGAUUGCGUGUGUUUGAUAUCGGUAUCACGCUUUCCAGCAGGCUGCUUUUGACUCUGGACUUUUUGAAGACAGCCAUGCGUGCAAUCCGCGUCGUGUGCUCGCUGCGAGAGCUAUCGAAAGGUUAAUGAAUUAUUUAGUGUUUGCCUCAGCUUCGUGCCAACCCUUGCAGUCUACGUGGAGGAAAUCGACGCAUCAAUUUCAAGUGCAGAGUUUAAUAUAACGAACGGAAACAGUUCGAUAUCUCCUAGCAGAAACGAAUGUUUUCGAUUUUAAAUCGCGUAUCGCAAUUUUCGUUCAAUGGAAAGUUAGAGCCAAUAAUUUAUCUAGUUUCCAGCUUUUAACUCGAAAAGUUUCAGCUAUCAAAGAUGCAAAUAAAAUCUUUAUUACGAUAAACUUCGAUCAAGAAUUUGCGACAAAUUUAGUUCUCCUGUUAUCUAUUUACUUAUUUGGCAUUUUGCAUAUUUCCUUCGGGAACAAGUCAACGUAUUUCCGUUAGUCGUCAAAAUUGAACUGUCUCUUAAUCAAAACAUAAUUCGUACAUCGCACAGCUUAAUUCGCCAUUAAUCUUUCCCUCUAAACGUUCUCCCUUUCCCAUCUGUCAUAAUUUAACAGCCAUAUGUACGGAUUGGAACGGUCUUCGGUUUUGAGAGAUUGAACAUCGUACCUUUAAAGAGCAAUUGGGCGCGAACAAAGCAUUACCGUUACUCCUCGUAGUCUCAAGUCACCGACAAAGUUCCAGCCGAAUUGAUGAGUUCGGAGAAGGAAGGGGUUCGCAGGCGUGCUCCCUCGUCGGUAACUUCCAUACAAACUAGCACGCGCUUUGCUCCGUACGCUACUUAAUAACGAGCGCGCAGUAACCGAGACGCCGCGGUGUUCCACAUCGGGAGAUUCACAAAGGUAUGCAUACACACAACAGACAGACAGACACGUGUGGAGUGCGUGCAGGAUCCUCCGAGCGACGCUCUCGACAUCGGACGUUCGGUCGAACGGACGGACAGACGGACCAACGGAUGGACGCGGUAUAUCGGUGGCGCAGCCCCAUAAUCGAUAAUUAAAGCGUUUCAUCGCACCACGUCGAAAAGGCUUCUAAUCGACGCUAAUUAUCGUAUCGCUCGUAACCGGCUUCGCUAGUAUAUCCGUGCUCACGCGCGUGCGCACACGUCCUUAAUUUAAUAUGACUCCCGAAGGUGUAAUUUAUGCUCACGCGAGUACACCUACUUACCCUACGGGGUCCCUCCCUUCCCGUUCUUUCGCUCAGCUUCACCGCGAUUUAACGUCUCACGGCACCCCGGCCGCGCGGCAGGGAACGCUGAGAGCGAAGAGCGGGCAGAGGGAGGAACACGGCCGUGGUGGACCUGACGCGGUGGCAUGACGUCUAACGAUACUAUGAAUAAUUCAUUAUAAUUAACCGGCUACGCGGAGCUGGGACGAAUCUCCACCUUCGAUCUCUCGCCCGAUGACCGGGGGCCGGCGCGAUCACGAUCUAUUUAAAUCGGCGUAACUAGCUUUAACGCUGGGCCGCCGCGUACCCGGGGAGCCCGACCACGGGACGGUCUCCCCCCUGUAGGGUGGUAAUUAAAAGCGAGGGGAGUUAUUAUCGCGCGUUACCUAGGAAGACCGAUCGCUAUCGUUCCUCCCGUUUACACCCGGGUGAUACACCCGCUUUGUAGCAAGCUGCACCGAAGAAGCAAGUAUGCGGUAUAUGAUAGAUAAAUAUCAACCGUUUACAAUUUUAAGAAAUGACUGUUGCUUUAGCGAUUGGCGAAGAAGAAAGUGUGAUAUAUUAUGUUAUAAAUUUUAUGCCACGUAUAAAAUAUUCGAGAUCAAUGUACAAUUUGUUACAUCGACGUAAAAAGAUGGACACACGGCGGUAUGUUAAAAUUUGUUGAAUCACUCGGCGAGUUAAUGCUCAGUGUCAAGGCGAUAAAGAAUGCUGAUCCUGCUAUCAGGUCCAGCUUCGAAAACAGAAUACAUCGUCCCUAUAUGGCCAUAAUCGCCGCUAUAAAGUAGCCCCGGCCGGAUCUCAUAUACCUCGCAAUCGCCAUCUCGCCAUCAUAUACGAGAAACGAAGAAUUUCUUCUCGUGCGAUGUAACGACGGGAGGAUCAUUUCUCGCGUGCGACAGUCAAUCGCGCGAUUUAACACGCUUUCACGUGUUGCACCCAUCGUCUCCCUCUUUCUCUUUUCUUCUCUCUUCCGGACACUCGCAAUAUCCAACCAGAUAAUAAACAUAAAUUCGGUUAUCGUUGCAACCUCAGGAUGGUCAUUUUUUAACCGACUGUUAAGGCCUUUUCGUUGCAAAAUCGAUGCAAAAUCGAUGCAAAAUCGAUGCAAGACAACAUUAUUGUAUAAAAUGAAAAAAUUGGGAUAAAAUCGAUUCGAAAAUGCUCGAUUUUUUGGUUUUAUAUGAAAGAAUGAUAUUAAUGAGAAAAUGAUAUUAACACCGAAACAACGCAAGGUGCUUUCUACGGAGGAAAAAACGUCUAAUUACAAUUAAAAGCAAAUGAGAUCCCUUUGGUUAGAAAACAGCGAACAAUAUCGCGCGCGAUUUCGUUACAAUUAGGAGAGCUAAAGGGUGGGUUGUCCACUUGAAAACGCAGUUUCGCGAUAACGGGAGCGUGCCCGUCCGUCCGCGCGAAACUUGUUAAUAGAAAUGCGAGACAGUUUUCGCAAAUAGGUCGCGACGGCUCGGUGCGUGACGACGGAUUGUGGGCCGGUGACAGUGCGAUUAGCAAACCGGAGCAACCGUUUCGGCUCGCGAACUUUUCAGCAGGGUCGGUGGAAUCCUCGAGAUGCGCGGAAUUCAAAUACUUUUCUAUCGACCGCGACUAUGUGCAUCUCUUUCUUUCUCAAUUACUAGAUGUGCAAUGGAUAGAAGAUUAAAGCUUAAUCAAAUAUGUAUUAAUUUUCUUACAAACACGUAUUUGAAAAUGGAAGAGAAACAUUAAAUGGAAGCCACUGCAUCUUUAAAAAAAUAAUUAGCAAAUUUCAUCAUUCCAAAUCAUUCAAACGACAUAUAAAAAUGAAUAAAGCGAGAUGAUGAUGCUCAAACGAAGCAAAGGAAUUUUCAACGAUAAGAUUAGUAGUCCUGGUAUUUUCGUAAUAAUCGCAUAAUCGUGAAUGCUCAUCAGUUUCCGAUGAUUUUAUAAUACCAAUUGACGUUAUCGACAGAAAAUCAUCAUAUUGUCCCAUUUAUCCGAGCGUCUCGAUUAUUCCACUUGACCCUACAGGACUGUCAUCAAACCGCCACUAUCGGCAUGUCGAAUGUCGAGGCGGUUAAUCAAGUUCGUUGGAGCGUGCUCUCGCGCCAUCCCGGCUUUAUCCCCGUUCACGAACGUUCGCGAACGGAACUUCACGUGUGCGCGUCGUUGCCCGGCCAGCGGUUCCCACGGUACGUCCCUGUGUGAUCGACUGCGCGCAAACAAGGUCGAGUCGAACGUCGGGUGUGACGCGUCGCUUCGCGUUAUGCUACGACGUAGUAGGAUCCAGCGUGGCUAAAUGGCGGUAGGCGCGUGGAUCUCGGGCCGAUUAGGCUCGUCUCCGGACACGCACGAGCGGAUCGAUCGGCCGCCCCUCGAAACCGCAAGAGGCGAAGGCCAGCCGCUGCUAACAAUGCGAGAUAUCGCUUUGCGGCGCGCGCGCGCGAUUGCGCAAGCCUUACGAAACGAAGUGCCGGCCACUUUUAAUAUUCGCGUUGGAGAACGGCGGAAAGAGAAGGAAAGCGAGAGAAUGAGAGAGAAAGAAAGAGAAAAGAUGAGGGGGAGAGAGGGGAGUGAGAGGGAACAUCAGCCGAUCAGCGUGAAAGGGUGCGCGGCUCACUCGAUCGGGGUACUGGCGAACCACUCGAUGUGCGUGACGCAAUGGAGGAUAAUGACUGGGUAAUGGACAUUCGUACCGCCCGGUUUGACCCUUGAUUACGGGUCCGAUGGUCGAGAAAUUUCCGCGCGCGGAAAUCGGAAGUGUCGGAUAGGAAAUCCGCUCCGAAACAAGGUACAAAACCGGACUGCGGAUUCCGAUGAGCUUUCGAGACUUGGAAGACUCGGGAAUGAUAUCUGUUCAUCUCUUAACGAUGAAAACAUUUUGACGUAAAUUUAUCGCAAUUUUCUGUUACUAUUUUGCUACGUAACGCGACCGAUGCUUCGCCUCUUGACGACGAUUUGCGGAAUUAAUUCCGCUCUUAUUUCGACGUUAUCAUCAAACAAUUUUCCAUCUAAUAUAAGAACUGUCUUCACUAACUAGCAUAAUUUGCAGAUAUCGACAAAAGUACCAUUUCUUCGUUAGUUGCAACAAUUUCGCGGGCUCUCCUUGGAAAUAUAAAGCGUGACGAAACCGGAAUACCUACACGGAAAGAAAAAAGUAGCUGCCAUAGCUAAAAACUGCGUGUGGUAACUAAAUUCAGUCGUAAUAUAUGGACAGCUAAAUUUUAGCUCUGAUACCUAUUUUAUUAGAUAAGGUUCCUAAUUCAUUAGCUGCAAGAGCAAACAGUUUGCUGUAGGUUAGAAAUUUAUAGCUACGGCAGCAAACAUUUUUUAGCAAAUCAUGAUUAGCUACGGUAGCAAAAAUUUUUCUUUCUGUGUAAAUGAUCUGACUUAAUUUCGAGAUAAGAAUGCUACUAUAUACAAUAUACGCAGUUGUUCUGUUGACGGAAAAACCAGAAUCGCGCUAUUUAACAUCUCCGGCAUCUUACUUCUACCGUGCCCAGUACGAUAAUAGCAAUAGAAUUUCCAUGAUGAAAUCGAGAUUGAGCGUCAAGGUGCUCGCCACCGGUACUUCGCCGAUAAUAAAAAACAAAAAAGAAAUAAGCAGAAGAUACGAGCGCCAAUUAAAACCCGCUUAGUCAUCACACUUCUUGAUCCCGCGCGAAAAAACAACCGAGUCACGGUGUCGUCUACAAAGAGAUCUCGAACAAUCGGGCAACUCGCUCGAUUACGAUUCCGGCAGUUACGAAUACGGUAUUUGCGAUGGUUCAGACAUAACGAAACCUAGAGCGGAGCGAAAUUAAUUAAAGUACAAUGAAAAACGCGUAUCGCGCGCCUCGGAAGUGUAAGAAAAUAUCGAGAAACGCGAGAAGCGACACGCUGCACACACUGAUCCUGCAUCCGAGUUGCGCUUUGUGCCCUUUGUACCCGGAUGCAUAAUGAACAGGCGGACGACUCGACGGCAGAAGCGACGAAACGUUGAUUUUCGGUUUACGGCGUUGUUUUACGGCGCUUUGUGGAGUCACCCGACGCGACUUCACAGACAGAGGAAGGAGGGGAGAAAAAAAAGCGCGACAGCAAGGAUUCCAGACAGACGAUUUUGAAUUUCAAACACGCUAUCGAAUUUGACAGUGUUCCCCGACACGUCGACGAUACUCCGAUCGCGAUUUCGAUAACGUUUCUUGCUUCCAAGUUCGCUCUAUCGCGCGACCCACAAUUUGCGACGGAGAAAUUAUCUAUAAUUUUAUGUAUCACAAAGUGAGGGUCGUAUUGUCGUACUGAGAAAUUCGAAUUUAUUCUAUUUUGCCGUAAACAUCAGAGAUGUAAACGGAAUGUACGUAGAAAGAUAUUAAAACAUGAACAGUUAGAAGAUAGAUGUUGCAUAAUUUCCACUUUAAAUUUUUAUCAAUAGAAAACACUAUUCUCGUAAUGUUAUUCCUAAAGUUGGAAUUAUACAUGCGGAGCGCACAGGACAAGCCUGAUUUCUCAUUCUUUAUCGAUCGGAGAUUAUCAGUAACGACGUGUCGAAUCGAUAUCCCGACAAAAGGCUCGCAUUUCGGGAGACGUAACGUAACUUGAAGGCGGAAACGUUAACGCAGCUGCGCGCGCGAUGUCCUUAAGUGCAACAAUGCGCUUCGUUCCCGUUUAACAAUUUUAUUUGCGUCCGCAACCGGUUUCGCAGAAUGCAAAUUGCCGCCGCGUGCCGAGGAGUUGCAGCAAAACGCGUAACACACCGCGCUUUGUAGCGAACUAUAACUACGACUUCGCAAACAUCGUCAUCUCCACAGACGCCAGCCUCCGCAGCAAGUUGCUCGACUACCCGAGGACGGCAGUUUGCGAAACGUACAUUUCGGUUUAAGUAGUCGGCAGGCUUCUAUUGAGAAAUAGCACGGAUUCAUAUGGCAGACGUAUUAAUCUCUCGGAUGACGUUGUGUCGAGGUGUAUCAUUCCCGGUGAGAACUCAUCGAAAUUAAUUCCUCGCUAGAAAUUCAUACCCGACGUCAAAAAUGAUACGUCGUGAUAGAUAACAACCGUGCGAAUCGAAUUUCCCACGAGAUGGAAUCAGUCAUCGACUUGUUAAAUUGCUGAUAAAUUCAAGCACGAUCAGCGUAAAGUCGCGAAUUCCUUGAAAAAUCGGUUUGUCAUGCGCGCCGGAUAAAAAGUGAACGGAAGCGGAGAUAUAAAAACAGAAAGGUGAGACGAGUUUUUUCGAGAUCCGAGAGCAGACAACGAUCGUCCUCGUAAAUCGCUCACGAGGAAUAAUGCCGCGCGAUUCGCUUUUCCGCGCUGAUGCACGCGCGCGGGAAACAAUCGGCUGCAAAUUUCAUUUAUCGUCGGACGAUUUCACUUACGGACCUAUCGCCCUGGCGCGAUAAUAAAGUAAUAAGAGCGACAGCCGACGCGCGCGGGAAACAUCGGUUCACUUGUUCCCUCGACAACGUGGCGCCCAUCGCCGUCAACGGUGAACCAUUCGAAACUAUUACGGUUCAUUGAAUUGCAAAUGCUCGGGCUGUGCGUUACGGACCGCGGUGGAUCCGCGUUUAAACGCGAGAAACGCUUCGAUAUGAGUGACACGCGAAUUAUAAGAUCUCUCUCGGAAAUUACGUCUGUAACGAGGAUGUAUGUACGUUAGAUUCGCGGAACGAUUCUCUGCCAUUUUAGCAUACUGGGUCAUACAAACACAGACUAAAAACGGCAAAUAUUUCGUUUGCCCGUCUGCUCGCUGCGAAAAUGAUACGCUCCGACUUUAUUCUUAUUUUUCCACGAAUCGAAUAAGCUACUUUGGUUUUCAUAAAUCGAAAUUUGGAAAUCCGAUUAAAAGCGAUUCUCAAUCUCUCAACUUCCAUGAAUUUUGCACAUCUAUCAUGAUUGGUAUAUAAGUGCUAAUCACUAGUAUUUUUAUCGAUGGUUUUAUCUCGCAUAGCAGUCUCGGUCGUUUGAACAAUGCUGAAACCCAUGUUUCCCGUUCGCACGGUUUAUUCUGGUAUAAUUAUUAUCGGAUUUCGUAGAAGUUGAUGUUGACUGAUUACGGUGAAUGUACGAUAUUCCAUGAUGUCUGUUUAUAUCACAGUUUUUUCCACUUUUAUUCAUAUUUCUCAUUUAUAUUGUACAAUUAUUUUGAGAUAUGAUAACAUAUAAAAAUACCGUAUCCGAUAUGUACAAUGUAAUCAUCUCUGUAUAAAUAAUAUAAAGUAUUAUAGAUAUCCCAAAAAAUACCCUAAAUACGAGUUGAAAAAAAUUUGAGAACAUAAGAUCAAAAAGCAUUUGUUUCCAGAGUACCCCGAAAAAUUUUCAAAUAUUUUUUCAGCCAGAAAUUCAGUCCAUUUGCGUGCGUGGAAUCGAUUCUUUAAUUAAUAAUUUUCUGUGAAGGUAUCACAUGUCUCUAUUAUGAUUUGAAAACAACGAUUGUAGAUACUUGAAAGAAGCCUGACAUAUAUUCUUGUCAACGCGAAAUCGUCUCGAGAUUAGUAGUAGAAUCCGCUGUCGAACAUCGAUGCCAGCCGAGGGGAUGCCUCGUGUGUAUCGAUAGUAAUUGCUAGCCGAUCUGUGGGAUCGAUGUUGUUCGCGACGCGUCAGGAAUUAGGAGUCACAGGAUGCGCGGGGAGGGAAGGCGAGGUCUAUACCUAAUCGGGCCGCCUACCGUUCCAUUUCCACGUAGGCGGCUUAUGUAUCCAUGUAGUUGACUUCCCUUCCCUCUUCCCCAUCUCUCUCUCUCUGUUGAUCCUCGCACGUUUACAUAAGCGUCCCGUUUACGUGCACUUCGAUCCUGCACCAGCCGAGCGACACGAUGCGGUUCCGCGCGACGAACGGGGCAUGCAUCGUCGUCGCUUGCGAUGCAUGGAGCGCACAAAUUGCGAGACGUCAGCCCGCUCGUCGCGAUCGACUGGCUGGCACGCUCGUUCCCGUGCGUUUACAGUUAGUAAUCGAAAUCUACUUAUAGGUAGAUCUCCCAUGGCAAGACAGCUGAAACGCGCGCCGAACCUGCCUCCUCCUGGGACUUCCCAGUGUCUUCAAGGAUUCCAACUUCUUGGUAAGCUUUACCCGAUAGGUAACCAUAUCUUCUCUUUUUUAGAACUCUAAACAGAGACAAAGAUAUGUUACUUGUCGGGUAAAAUUUACCAAGAAGUUGGAACAAUCGGCCCUAAGAAGGAUAUUCGGGUAACGACGACGCCGAUACCGGAGCGUUGAGUAAGAUCACGAUACAGAAGCGCCGAGAACGUCUCGUGAGAUGUUCGAGAUCGGAAAGUACGCGUAGCUUAUAAAAAAGAAUUAAACUUUAAAUAAAAUAGAGAACUUCAUGGAGGGAAAGAGAAAGUGCGGGAAACCCGUCGUGAUCCAUAUAUGAUACUGCAAAAUUAUGUUUUAUUCCGUAGGUAGAACCUGUCGUCAGUCUUCUGAGAUACUGAGGGAGAAAGCACAAAUCGCCACGUACGCGCGUAUCGCCCAAAGGAUAGCGAAGCUAUCCUUAUCAGCUCUCGUUAUACCUGACACACCGAAAAGCAUUCUAUCAACGUGACGGUACGCGUUUUUAUAGCCACGUCCUUAUCAACGACAGUCUUCCAUCUCGGAGUGCAUCCGGUUUUCCAGGUCGGUCGCAACCACCGGCGAUUUAUCAUGUUAUAGUUUUGAUAAUCGGGGCCUAAGCCACGACGUUACCACGACCCGAAAGAUCGUAGCGGGAUAAUCUCGUGAUAACCGGAAGGGCCGGUAGAAACUUCACUUCGCGUGAACGGACUCAGAAAGCGCUGAAGUGCCGGAAACCGAAUAGCCGCCGUCUAAACGGACGUAGAUCCUUCUAGAAGAAUCCCCGCGUUUACGACGACAGAAUCGAAAACGACACGCGCGUAUUUAAGGAGGAUAAAGUGUAUCCAGAAGAUAAAACUUUAUCGCGAUUUUGCUCGUAAAUUAUUUCCACGGAGUUCUCUAUAUUUUUAUCGAUGAUAGUUAUCAAAAUUUGUAGGGUCAUUUAAGACUUUUUCAGAAUUUUUACAACAAGAACUCUUUCCGGACGAGUAGAAAUUCUCAUAAGUAGCCCAUAAGUACAAUAACCGUCUCGAUAACGAAGUUUUCGAUAACAAUACAAUUUGCCGUAACAACGUGCACACUCCAAGUUCGAUAGCUCUCGCGAUACCAGUUCUGCUCAACUGAAAAUAGUUUCGCGCGCGAUCUGGCCGAGCUCAAUUUCGGAAACCUGAAACUAUUCCUGCGGAUCGACAAAUAUGCGGAUUUGACGGAACAACUUAGCGAGUCGCUUUCCAAAGUCGUCUCCUUUUCCUCGAGGUAACUUCCCCUGACUUUCGCUUGCACUGAGUAUCGCAUUAUCAAAAAUUCUAUGUCAUUGCGAAUUCAGUGGAUCGACAACAACGAGCAUAACGAGACUGCCGACAAUCAGUGUUUCCUUCUCGGAACUGCGAGCGUUUUGUUUCAUGAGAAUUUAAACAGGUGCUCCUCGUUGGAGGACCUGCCGGUAGAUACGCAAAAUGCAACCGUGUGCAUAUAUGCACGCACGCACGCACGCACGCAUGCAUGCACGUCCGCCCGCACUCACGUAAGCAUACGGCGCCGUCAAGGCCAUGACGUCACCCGCAGGGGUAGACCGUUUCACCCUUCCAUCUCUAACCCCAUGAAAAAGGAAACCGGAUGAUUCUGCCCGGUCGGCUCUCAGGACUUCCCAUGACGUGCUUCCAAUACGCACGUAUUAUUGACUCACGCGUGCACGGCUAGGUAGUUAACUGCGCCGCUGAUUCAUGGCCAAACAAAAUAACGUCGAUAUUUUCCUCUCGUGUCACCAAAAGUAUGAGAAUAACUUGCCUAUUAUAAAUUGUCGGCGCAGAUCCACGAUAGUUCUAUUUUAUGACAAUAUUCAAAUAAGCAUCUCUUCAAUCGGUCAUGCAUAAAUUUGCAGAUGCUCAUCCCAGACGGUUGCAACACAGAUAUUAUUUUAAUAUUUUAGCGUUUUCAAGAUUAUCCUCUGUUAACUAAAAAAAGUAAUAUUGACUAGCCGCAUAGGUAAUGCAUUUAUUAUAGUCAUCAAAAAAUUACAACAGAUUUUUUAAAUCUUCGGAAAAUUCUUUGCAAAAAGACACUAUAUCUCAAACUUACUUCUAUUCGCAACAUCAUGUGGUGUCCAUAUUUUCUAUAAAACGGCAGCCGUCGCGAUUAGGCCCUUUCUCAGUGAUUAGCGCAGUGAGAAUUAAAUUGUCGCACGAUCAACGAACGGAUCCACGAGAUCCGUCGAGAAGAUCACAGGCCCAGGACGCGACGGUGCCAGUCCUCGAGAGGAAGAGAUGGUCCCUUCCUCCGGAAGACGCGCGGUCCCACGGGGAAUAAAGGGGGAUGCGCGUGGUCGGAAAGGGAUUCGCUCGUUCCGAGAACCCAGAACUUUCCCUCAGUGGAGGAACCGGCCGGCGGGAUGGGCCGGCUGGGCCCGAAAGAGGCUACGUUUCGACACGUAGCACAUCUGCCAGUUGGUGCCUCUGCCACACAGCUGCCAAAUAAUGCGACCGAUCCCUUCCUGACCUUCUCACUUCUCGUCUCGCUCCUACCUAUCUUUUCGCUCUUUCUCCAUGCGUUUCGCUUCUUCAGCACGGCCUGUUCCUUCGUCUGCUGUUCUUUCUCUCUCUUUCUUUUCCCCUUCUUCCCUUUUCUUCCAUCUCGGUCUGUCUUCAUUAUUUCCACAGCGGCACAGGCCUCUCCUUUAUGCGCCAAGGCCCGAUUCCCGCUUUGUAUUCGAAUCGACAAGCUGCCGCGUAAGAGCGACGAAGAAAAGACCAGAAAAGAGACGAACGAGAGAGAAAGAGAAAAGGGCAACAUGUCGGUGUGCGAGUACCGGGUUUACCUGUGCCUUGCUAAUGCGAGGACAGCCCAGACAAGCCCGGGGCUCGUGUCCCAAAGUACAAAAGACUGCCGGCCGGCGCGUUCAUGUGCGUUAUGUAUACAUGUACAUGCAUUCGCGUACGUCCCCCGUGUGCGCGCGUAUGCGUGACUUCUUAUUCCGUGUAUCCACAGAAUGUAGAUCACCUCUGCUGCUACUAUCACCCUUCGUCGGCACUGUCUCGAGGAACGGAAGUUUCUCUCAGUUGCUCUUUACUUUUUUUCUCCUUUAAUCGUGAUACCUGUUCCCUGAAUUAAUCGAAGAGUACGUUGCUACUCGAGAGAGUGCUACUUGCAUACAGCUGCGAUUUCGCUUUCCGUUCUCCAUCAACGAUAGUCGCGGGAGAAACGUUGCCGCAAACCGCAGGAAAAUUCCGACGCCGGGUAUUCCUAGGUGAACGUACACGUGGGAUUCUCAUUUUGUUCACGUCCUCGCAAACGAUGAUAACAAGACAGAAAGAACAUCAUUUUGGUAACAACACGUCAUCUUUGACGCAUUGCCAAGUAUCAAUUUAGAAAUCUUCACAAAGCAUUUUCGUCUUGAAUACAUCUUGAAAUUCGUGACCAAAAAGUGGCCGACCUUCCACGUAUAUUUCAAGCAGCAAUUUUACAGAUCGUAAACCUUUGACGUUUUCACCAGGUAUUACGAAACAAAAAUGAAAGAAGAAUGUUACGCCGAACGCCAAACGAUAACGCGUUGAACGCACGAGAACGACACGGGCGCGCGGGUUCGUCGUUCCGAAUUCCAAAUUGCGAAGGCGCGAAGCGGAUUACGCAACGACUAGAAAGGCGCCGACACUCUCAACGUUAUACUUAACGGGCGCCAUUGUUGCGCAGAAGCUCGCGUUCGUUGCAUUAUCUCGACGAUAAGACUUUCACCCACCGACCACUCGCACUCGCGCACACGUUGCACUUUGCCGCACGCAUUAUUUUUCCGCGAGCGACACGACGCAACGCUCGCUUGUGGCACCACGCGCGCAAUGCUUCUGCGCUGCGAGGCCGCUCGAACGCGUAAUCGAUGAGGGACGCGAAUUAAUAAUGCCGAUACGACCGCGCGACUCGAGUCAUGCAUAGAAAGAGAGAAAGAGACAGGGAGAAGAGAGAGAAAGGGAGAGAGAGAGAGAGUCAAUGCAACCGCAUUGUCGGAAUGAUCCAAUCGCGGUCAACAUUUCUGUCCCGGAAAGAGAAUCUUUUUCAGGUCGCCGAUUAUUUCGCGCGGAACUUGUUCAGCGAACUAGAAUGAAAACUCCACUAUAUAUCGCGCUUUAGAAAUUUCUGAUCCCUUCCAUUUCUCGUUCAGUCCCUUUUAACUCUGGGCGAGUAAAAUUACCAUUCUGUCAGUUCGCGAUGUUAGUAUGUCGAGGAACAAAGAACGAAUCUCGACGCGCUCGUCCGCCCGCGAUGCGAUUGUUAAUCGAGACGACGAAGAUUAACAAGGAAGAUGAUUAACAUUCUCGUCGGGAUAGGCGAACGGUUGUUUUCUUGGCGAGAAGACGCACGUAUCGAUUCGCGCGGCACGCUCCUGCAUCUCGAUGUACAAUAUUUUCGAUUUCUGCCCUCGCCGUGGGGAUGGUAUCCAGACAGUAUCCACCGCGUGCAUUGUUAACUGAUUAGUCGACAGCUGUGCACACACAACAUCGCACGUGGAGUUUCUCCGCGCGGCUCUGUCAAGUUGGAGAUUUUUAAUUUACAGCACCUCACUCGGAAGAUCACACCACACCUUACCGCCACCGUAAACUAGCGCAUUUUCAAUGCGUGAAUCGAUAACACUGGACUAUUUCGCGUCCGCAUUAAAUAUUCGCAACGUGCGAUAGAAACUGCCGAUAAUUACCGCGCUGCAUAUAUUUCUGUAUAUUUUUCGGAUAGUUUUUUAAAUUAUCGCAAGAUUCUUUAAUUAGGAUAAUCAUUAGGGUAAUUAUCAAAUUAUCUCAUACUUUCAAUUUGCGGAAUGUUUCUUUUUUUUAUUUGUAUAAUUGUAAUUGCGGCGUCUCUCUCGCUUAUCUAGUGCUGAUUGAUCGCCUGAGUAUACAUAUCGUGCGUCAGCAAUUCUUUUCUCUUUCUAAUAUUGUCGUCCGUCAGAACGCGAUAACGCGGCGAAGAUACGAGGCAGGUUUCACCCGAGGAUCAAUUUCAUACAGGAAGCAGAUAACUAAACGCGUUGCGAGCGCAACGGAGAAUGCGAACUGGUUGCCUACCGGAAAAUAAUGAAGCAGCGAAGUAUAACGUCGUCGCACUAAUAAAGAUCGCGGAUGUCACCGAACAGUGAAGCGUCGCGAAACUAGUUAUUUUAUAUGUUUCAAAUGACUCAAAUUGAUUUUUUUAUGAUUUAUUAAUGAUCUUCACAAUUAAGAAAAUGAGAAAUAUUCUUAUACACAUUUUUAAAUAUCUGGACCUUUGUAGCAGAAAAUAUUAGGUUGUAUCUAUUCGUCCCGUUUGUUUAAUGUUUUUAUAACGAAUAUAUGUUACAACCUAAUAAAACGAGAUAAUCGGCUAAAUACAUUGAUAUAUAUAAACUAUUUUCCAAGUAAUAUGAUAAGAGAUAUGUAUAAUAGAUUACCAAGUAAUUAACUAAUCAUAAGUGACAAAGCUGUUCUAAUUAAGAAUCUAUAAUGCAGCAGAUCCUAUCGCAUCCGCAAUUAAUUAACCGCCAAAUCCGUUUCACGUCAUUCCUGACAAAAAUACUUUCUCACGUAAUUUCCCAUUCUCAUUUGUCUUCCAGACACGCCAGUAAAGAAUUGGAGGAUUAUGGAAGAAGCUAAUAAAAAGGAAGAGAGACACGAUAGCGGGAAUAUUUCUCGGGAGACUCCCUCGUAGCGUGCACUGGAGACCUCGCAGCGUCAUUGGCUUUAGAGAGAAAAGAAAAAAGAAAUCGAUGGUCAACGGGGUAUACUACUCGUGAAAAGGGGAGACCCGAGAAAAGAUGUCGCCGGUCACCACGAGCAGGCGGAAUGUUUAACGCUCCAGAAAAUUAGGAACGUCCUGCUUGCAGAAGUAAAAGUAUACCUGAGGAUUGCACGACUAGUUCGGUCCCUCGUUUCUCCCUUUUCCCUUUCGUUCCCUCUUCGCCCUUAUCCACCCUCAAGAUGCAAGCUCGAGACGGUACCGCGUAAGGAAAAGCAGAAGGAAGCAUGGAGAGGGAAGGCUGGCUUGGUAACGGAGGAUGACUAGAGACGGACGAGCAAGACGAGGGUACGUUGCGUCCGGGUCUGCCUGGCGUCCUUCGCCGCGAAGUAGACAGCUGUUCCGUUUAUUUCUUCCUUUUCUCUCAUCGCAACAAGGCCCGAGUUCCGUGCGUUCGUGCACGUGCAGCGUGAAACGCGCCUAAUUCCAGCAGGCGAUCCACUUUGGGUGGAAAAUCCGAGUACGAAGACACGAGCGAACAACGACGAACGCUGUUACGCGAAUCUAAGAAAAUCAGAGGACGUGCAGUUUAUGUUCUUAUUUAUGACUUAAUUAAUAUAAAUGUUCGACGAAAGAACAACGCCGAAUAACACGGCAUAUCGUUACACGGCUGAACGAAAUAGAUGUUAUCAGGGAGAUAACUGCGAUUUCAAAAAGUCAAACGUUCCUCAUUAAACACGAGCCAUUCUUGUUUCUUGAUAAGACUACCGAGUCUGAGAUAAGAAACCGAGUCAAUUAGAGGACCAAUUUCAAAGCGGAACUAAACGACUGAUUUUGAGCCACUAAACAAGGAGUAAUUUCUGGGAUUAUUGCGCCCGUAGUAAUCUGUGAAUUCUACAGCGCCGACCUCUUAAUUAAUGCCAGCUCAUUAACACAAUAUCAGCGACAAUUAAAAACGAUCGGGAAAUGAAGACUAGAGGAGUGGAGGGGGAACCUAAAUAACGAGUUUCUCGUUGCGAAAUCCAAUUGCGUCUGAAUGCCAAGCGACAAUUUCAUUCGGAUGCAAACGGUGAUCCGCGAUGUGCGCAUGUGCGUUCUCAUGAUGGACAUCACGUGGACGUGCACACACGCUCAGGCGAAAGUUACGUUAUUUCGUUGAUGACGUACGUGCGCGUAAACGAGGAGGGGUUUUACGCACAACCCAUACGAUGCUACGGAUCAGAGGGAGAGAAAGAGAGAGGAGAUACACAUCUGUAAUCGUACACAUGCCAGGCGACGAAGAUUCUGAACGCCUCUCGUGCGAAACUGCGUCAUUUCUGCCGAUAUAAACGUCGUAAUUUCUUUAGAUCGGCAUCCCGUUACACGCCGAGGAUGAAUGCGGUUUCGCCAAUGAGCCCGCGAAAAUUUACGCGCCCGAUCUCUCUGGUCAGUGUGAAAUUCAACUAUUCUCGCGGGAACGCUGCCAAAAAUUCGGUUUGGACAUUAUAUUUAGUUGGGCAUUCGAGAGAGAGAGAGAGAGAGAAUAAUGCUGGCCAGGACCAACUUGCGACAAGGGGUAAUUAUUGUGUCACGAGACGACGACGCGAGUCGCCAUAACUCGCUGUUUAUGACAAUCAGUAGAAUUUACGCGAUUUAAAAUUAAAUAACGUUGCAUUUUUUAAAGAGAUGAAAUCUGUCAAAGAUAGAAUAUUUAUCGGAUAAAUAAAUCAUGGGCUGCAACUAAAUCAGUUUGAAUAGGUUGAAGAUAAUUAUGAAACUUCUUUUUCUACGUGCGAAAAAUUGUGAAUAUUUUGAGUUUCUCGCGAGCGCAUUGUGAGCUUCCGCGAGAGAAAAUACAUCGAAUUGCUCAUCCGCCCACUACCUCUUUUGCAUAGAGUAACCUAAACGCCCACAUAUCUCCAUUACCCUCUGUGGCUUUUUGUUACGAACGUCACUUGAAUCCUCCAUAAAUGCCACAAUCUCGAAUACAAGAAUCGGUAAUAAGACAACACGUAAUUGCUUUUUAAUGAACACAUAUAGAAAAACAGAUUUGUAAGCGGAUACAUCCAACAAUGCAGGAGAAUUGUACGACAUAAAAUUAGAAUAGGGAAAAAAGCUUCACGAGAUUUUUAAUUGGAGAGUGCAAUUUUUCUGUAUCUGACAGUGAAAGAUUGUGACGUUUUGAUCGAACGUGUUUGGAUGGAUUUUUCUCUCAGUCGCAGUUGAUUGGAUUUGAUUUGUAUCUAAAUUCGCUUUUGUGCAUCUUUCAAACGUCAGGUAAUUGCAAGCUCACGUUCCACGAGUAGGAUUCUAUUGAUUUAUACGAUUUUAACAAUUUAUAAAUAUUCGUGGGAAACUAUUGGCACCGUUUCAAUAUUCGUGCGGUACAAUGCAAUCGUUACUAUUCAUUUUAUGCUCCAUUACGUUUAAUGUACAAGAAUAUCCGAAAGUACAAUCUUUAUCUGAUGAAUUAGCAAUAGUCUCUCUACUCGGUGCUCUACUUCAUUGACUCUUCGAACACCAUCAUUAAAUCACACAAGACAUUUCACCGAUAAUUUGCAUUACAUAUCUGUUUUAAAUUAAAUUAAAUUUCAUCGGAUAAAAUCAAGAAGACAAAAUUGCAAUACUAAGAUACAACUUAAACAGAUAAAUCAGCGAUGCAUGUACUGAUCACUAUUAGAACAUGUUUAAAAUAUUGCUUAUACUUAAAUACUAAGACACAUGCCAUUUUGUACAAAUCGCAAUGUUAAUGCUUGUAUAAAUGUGUGUCUCAUGUUUCUUGACUUGAUAUUAUUAAGAUAUUAUUCUGACUAUUGAUUUCGAAUAUUCAUGAAAAUAUAUAUACUUUGAUAAAAAAUAGAUAUAUUUAUAGAUAUAUUUGCAAAUAACUAUUUUUAACUAUUUGUGGCUACUUUGCAACAAUUGGCUAAUCAUCUACAUGAAUUAUUAUUACUACAAUCAAGUCUUCGUUCUGUGAUGUAAUCUCCAAAUACAUAAAGUUAAAUAAAUUCGAAAUGCAAUAAAUAUCAACUAUAAAAAAAGUGACGCCGAUACAAAAUCUCGUUUCAAUUACGUGUUCAAGCAUAAGAUUAAAAACUGUCACGUGCGAGACCCGAAUCGGAGUCGCGCACUUUCACGCAGCCUAGCAGGUUGAUAACCACUGGCCACAACCACGAUCCGCUGUUGCGUCGCAUACUGGCGCAGCACACGCGUAGCCGCCGCAUACGCGUACUGCAGUACUUUUGUACUCUCACACGUCUUAUUGUGCGACAAAUAAUGCAUUUUUCGAUUCUCUGAUUUGUUAUAGAAUGCCUAGAGAGUGAAAAUUAAAUAAUCUUGAUACGCAAACGAUCGAAGGAAGCGAGCGAAGCUUCGUAUUUCAAUCUAUCGUGAACAGAGAUUUAAUUUGAGAAAAUUUUCGUUCAAACGUGUUUUAUGUAUAAUUCAAACUUAAUGUAACAUGAAAAUUCGAAAAAUGCUAUUAAUAAUUUUCCAUUAAACUCCAUUUUAUUAAAAAAAAAACCAUGAUAGAAAGAGCGUGAUAAUCCUGUUCUACGCGAUGAAGUAGUAGGCACUUCCGAUUUAAUAGUUGCCUAAAUCAUGAAAAAAAGAUAUGUUUAUAAAAAGCAACUCUAUGUGCUUGAAAGAGAUGUGCUUUACGAUGCUAUUAUCCCACACCGAUUAAUCGCGAAUUAUCAUUGCUAGCAGAGUAUCGUUUGCAUCUUAUUGUCUUAUUUACGCCGAUGAUUAAUGAUAGGAUUCUAUGUAGGUACGGCGUGAUGUUUCGAAGCUGCACGCUACAUCAUAGAUACAUCGAUACGUUACGGUAAUCAUAUCGAAUCGCAAUCAAUUUAGCGUGUAGAUGUUAUAUUCAAUUAAGACUCGCGCACGUCGCCGAUUGACGUCGCGGGCAUGAUUUUCGGAGCGUACUCGUAAGACAGGCUCGUUUAAUAGACGUAAUGGGCAUGAUUAAUUAGCGGGAAUCAAAAGGUCUCGUGAAGAGCGGGAGAAAGCGGCUACUUCGCAUUAUUCGAGCCGCCGCGAAUUAGGAAGGAUAACCAUUGCCGUAUCGGCUACGCGUAAUUGCGUUAUUCGCACCCGCAAUUAAUUGUCCCGGAUUAACUUUGAAGAUAAUCAAUUUUUCCAUCGCAUUAUCAUGGACGUGGAUUUAAAAGCGUGCAUUUAAAAGAAUAAGAUUAGCCGUGGCACUACUAAGCGGAUUAUCGAAUGAAUUAAUAAAUUGAAUAAUGCAAUGAAUCGUCUCUCGUAUGUUUCUCUCUUUUUAACACCAAAAGUGCACACACGCACAUACGCACCUACACGCACGUGUACAUACAUCACGGACACUUCCAGAGAUAACUUACGCAAUACUGAUUUCUUUCCCGAUCUAUAUCACCGUUCUCUUUUUAUCUCCGCGUGUUUGCCUUCGCACGAAACGCGCCUCCGUGCAGCGCGACGCGCGGAACGAAAAUUUAGUUAAGUCAUCACGAACAGAUGCACAACAACGGUGACGUAAGGUGGUUUCCGAACGUAGUCUUUGAUCGCUUCUUAUCCGAUCUCUUUCGAUAUGAUCUGCUCGGCGCCACGCGUCGUGUCGCGUCAAAGUCACCUCGCAAUGGCGUGCGCGCGCGUGGUUCAUCGCUUCUCGUGACGUCUCGCCGAGCUUACUACGCAUUACACGAACGGGAAAAGUGGCCGCGCUUCGUGGAUCGAUAAUGACCGACCGCCUCGAGAGAGAGAGCACGUGCCAAACACGGGGAGCCGGUCGAACGGCGGCAGUGCCGGCGUUUUCCGGUGUCCUCGCCGAAUAAAACAUGGCGACGUCGCGCGCGCAACACACUCGCGAAAUUCAUGUACCCCGCUCUCGAUCUCCUUUAAUCUCUCUCUUUCUCUCCUCGCAAACUGCCUUGCCGUCCCAUUGCCAUCGAACGUUGACCUCACCCGUCACUAUUUUGCGUGCACGGUGUCUGACAUUGUCGCCGCGUUCGAUUAAUAAGAAACAGAGAACAAGUCGUAUAAUUUGACAUUUGAUUAUUAGAUCAUGAGGCUUGCGAGCGUUGCGUAUUCCACGUUGAAGUGUAGCGUGAAACAAUUCUAUAAGAUCUAUAAUCUAUAAGAAAUUUAUUUCUUCUUAAUAAUGGUUGUAUUAUAAAACACCAUUUCUCAUUAUUGAUACAUCUUUCUAAUACGCGAUAUGCGAAAAAUACUAAGAACUUAGCUUGGAAUAAAAGAUUCAAUUUAGACUCGUUUCGUAAUUACGCGCAAAUCGUAACUAUCAAUCAUCGGCAGUAUCGCAUAAAGGUGUCAGUGGUAUCGUUAAUGCGACGUAAUCUGCACGAUUUGCACGAACGAUUGAGCGGCGAAUUUUUCGCCGUUCGCUAACGCUCGCCAAAGAGGUCGCGCCGCGGCAGAAAACGCAAUUGCAGCGGCUCCGCGCAAUUAUGCAGAUUAUUCGCAGCCGCGUGAAGGAUCGUGGUGCCGUCGGCGCAAACUUCCCUUCGUUUGCCACACAUGGAAAACUUUGCGCGCUGUCGUAACCGAUAGUGACCCAGACAUAACACGGAGAACGUGAAAACGAUAGCGACGCCCUGACAGAUUGUAAAGAUAUAUCUUGUUCCCGUCGCGCUUUUAUCACGUAUUGAGAAUGCAUUUGGAACGUAUACUUGUAAUCAGAAAAUUCAUAUUUUCCCGAAAUAAAAUAAUAACAAAAUUAAUAA
Molecule: long non-coding RNA, 31138 nt
Organism: Ooceraea biroi (clonal raider ant)
Lineage: Eukaryota; Metazoa; Arthropoda; Insecta; Hymenoptera; Formicidae
Source: RefSeq, a predicted model, not a curated record